CUAAACAUAUUACCGAAACUGUGGAUGAACCUCUUUAGAGGUUCGUGGUAGGAGAGCGUUCUAAGGGCGGUGAAGUCAGACCGGAAGGACUGGUGGAGCGCUUAGAAGUGAGAAUGCCGGUAUGAGUAGCGAAAGAAGGGUGAGAAUCCCUUCCACCGAAUAUCUAAGGUUUCCUGAGGAAGGCUCGUCCGCUCAGGGUUAGUCGGGACCUAAGCCGAGGCCGAUAGGCGUAGGCGAUGGACAACAGGUAGAGAUUCCUGUACCAGUGCUAAUUGUUUAACCGAUGGGGUGACACAGAAGGAUAGGGAAUCGCACGAAUGGAAAUGUGCGUCCAAGCAGUGAGUGUGAGAAGUAGGCAAAUCCGCUUCUCGCGAAGCAUGAGCUGUGAUGGGGAAGGAAAUUAAGUACGGAAGUUCCUGAUUUCACGCUGUCAAGAAAAGCCUCUAGGAAGAGUAGUACUGCCCGUACCGCAAACCGACACAGGUAGAUGAGGAGAGAAUCCUAAGGUGAGCGAGAGAACUCUCGUUAAGGAACUCGGCAAAAUGACCCCGUAACUUCGGGAGAAGGGGUGCUCUAUUAGGGUGCAAGCCCGAGAGAGCCGCAGUGAAUAGGCCCAGGCGACUGUUUAGCAAAAACACAGGUCUCUGCAAAACCGUAAGGUGACGUAUAGGGGCUGACGCCUGCCCGGUGCUGGAAGGUUAAGAGGAGUGCUUAGCUUCGGCGAAGGUACGAAUUGAAGCCCCAGUAAACGGCGGCCGUAACUAUAACGGUCCUAAGGUAGCGAAAUUCCUUGUCGGGUAAGUUCCGACCCGCACGAAAGGCGCAACGAUCUGGGCACUGUCUCAACGAGAGACUCGGUGAAAUUAUAGUACCUGUGAAGAUGCAGGUUACCCGCGACAGGACGGAAAGACCCCGUGGAGCUUUACUGCAACCUGAUAUGGAAUGUUUGUACCGCUUGUACAGGAUAGGUAGGAGCCGAAGAGACGUGUGCGCUAGCAUACGAGGAGGCAA
RNAcentral lists this ribosomal RNA (1011 nucleotides) under Listeria monocytogenes. Its description in RNAcentral is "partial 23S ribosomal RNA". It matches the Rfam family "Bacterial large subunit ribosomal RNA", at positions 1181 to 2189 of the family's 2925-position model. The record is from RNAcentral. Lineage: Bacteria; Bacillati; Bacillota; Bacilli; Caryophanales; Listeriaceae.